Molecule: ribosomal RNA, 305 nt
Filed under: uncultured bacterium
Lineage: Bacteria
Description: bacterial SSU rRNA
Rfam family: Bacterial small subunit ribosomal RNA
Source: RNAcentral
GCCUACGGGAGGCAGCAGUAGGGAAUCUUCCACAAUGGGCGCACGCCUGAUGGAGCAACGCCGCGUGGGUGAAGAAGGUCUUCGGAUCGUAAAACCCUGUUGUUAGAGAAGAAAGUGCGUGGGAGUAACUGUUCACGUUUCGACGGUAUCUAACCAGAAAGCCACGGCUAACUACGUGCCAGCAGCCGCGGUAAUACGUAGGUGGCAAGCGUUAUCCGGAUUUAUUGGGCGUAAAGGGAACGCAGGCGGUCUUUUAAGUCUGAUGGGAAAGCCUUCGGCUUAACCGGAGUAGUGCAUUGGAAACG